UUGUGUGUCUGUGUUCAGAUCCCUGUUUUUGAGAAAUGACAAGAUAAGUGUCUGUAUAGAAGGGCUGGUAUUUCUCUUCAUUAGUGCUUCCACAUGUGACAGCUGAAGCUAGAGACACUGAGAAGGAAGAAGAAGGUAAUUCUGCAGCUACAAACUUCUGACUUUCCUUUAGUAGACUGACAGUGGACAUAGGACGUCUGUUCCCUACAGAAGUAUCAGUAACCUCAGACUGUCUCUCUGUAUCGAAGGUUAUCAUCAUCAUCUCAUCAUCUCCACCAUGAAGACUGUGUCUGCACUUGUUUGCACCAUGAUGGCUCUGACUAGUAAGUUUUGUAUGUAGCGACUGUAACAGAUGAUUGUGUUGUACAAUAACAGGUCAAUAACUGCUGUGCAUAUAUAUAUAUAUAUAAGUUCAUUUAAUAUGGUGAUAUAAUAAUUCCACGAUUAGAGCUUUAACCGGAGACUCCACAUUACCCACCAAACUCUAUUUGUUCUCUGCAAAGGGUCAUGUGGUCAAGAACUGGCUAUUUUGUUCUGUUGGUUGGACUAAGAUCAAUGGACACUAUUUCCUCUUCGUUCCACGAGCCAUGACUUGGGCUCAGGCUGAGAAAAAUUGUCAGUCCAUGGGUCACACCUUGCAUGUGUGUGUGGAGCUGAGGAGUAUCAUGGGAUUAAAAAGCUGAUAGCAGAUAAAACUCAUGGGAAUCUGCAGACAUCACUUGGAGCCUCUGACGGUGCAGAGGUAUAUCAUUCAUUCAUUUUUCAUGGUUGAAGGUUCAUUCUUGAUCCUGAAAUAAUAGUUUGACAUCCAUUAUCUCCGGAAGUCCAUGAUAUGUGACAUCCUCCCUAUGCGGACUUUGUCGCUCUGCAACAAUGUCACAUAACUUCAUCAUGACAUUUACAGCCACUAGAAGGCUUUUUUACUAAGACACGGAUAAGAAAGCAGGACAUAACUAGAAUGACAAGACAGAUACUAAGAAAACUUAAACAAGCGAAUGAACAAAGGACUAAACUCAGCUACAAAACCCUAAACAUGACAAGAUCAAAUAAAGCUAUAGAAACACAGAAUCCAAAAACAGACUAAAACAGGAAAGACAUGAACACAAAACACCUGCAUACAAACACUUAGAGCUGAAAUCAACGUAAGCGUCUUUAUACAACACUCCUUUUCCAUGUUUACCAUCGCGGGGAGGGGUGACAGUCGUGAACGGGAACAUUUCUCCACUUUGGGACAAAUCAAGGUUUUCUUAUCUUAUCUUAAUUAGGGUUAUAGGUUGCAUUUAAAGCAAUGCAUUUUACAUCCAAUCAAAGUUAGGAUGUUAACAAAUAAAUCAAACAAUGAAAAAGCUAUUUAUUGAUAUUCCCAAAGUUAUGUCCGAGACAAGACCAACACCAUCAAAAAGUGUUCUCGAGACCAAGACCAAGAACACUAGCCAGCGCUGUUUACAAAUGAAUCAUGGAGGUAAAUCAUAAAAUACAUUAUUUUGCAUGAGAGUAAUGGACUUGUGAAUGUACUGGUGUAGAUCAUUAAAGCUCUAUAAUUGAAAAAAAAGUGAGAUCAAUGUAUAAAUGUAUUCAUUUUUGCAUUUCACUUGAGCACAUACCUCUGUCAAGGCUGUAAAGCCUCUCCAUUUAUUAUUUUAAUGAGACAAAUUUUUUUAGUCUUCAUCAGCAUCAAAUGAUACAUUCUGCUAAAUAACCACGCUCAUGUCUUUCUGAUACACACAGGUAACAAAUGCUGGGAUGAUAUGCAGUGUCACAGUCACCUUGCAUCCGUCUGUGUAAAGAAAACCAGCUGAUUCCUGGGCUGACACAGAGGCAUGAAGCACCUGGAAAAAAUCACAAACACGAUGGAUGUUCUUUAAACUCAUCUCUCUUCAUACCAUCAGUAUCAUAUGUACCCUGAAGGCUCUAUAUCUCAUUUCAUGUCUUUUUUUAUUUUCUAUCGCUGUAACGCAACUUAAGGAAUGAAGCGACAAGUGAAUUAAGAAGAUCUGGACUGUCUCUGAGGCUUUGUGCCUUUAAUAAGAGCAGACUGAAUGUGUGAAAAGAAUGCUUUUAGCACCAACUUAUUCUGCAGAGUGAACUGUGCUUUAUUGUCAAAUGCAAAUUAAAAGCCUUGAAGCAUUGAAACAA
Molecule: long non-coding RNA, 2136 nt
Organism: Micropterus salmoides (largemouth bass)
Lineage: Eukaryota; Metazoa; Chordata; Actinopteri; Centrarchiformes; Centrarchidae
Exons: 2
Source: RefSeq, a predicted model, not a curated record